Sinocyclocheilus rhinocerous is the source of this 762-nucleotide long non-coding RNA. RefSeq lists it as uncharacterized. NCBI's taxonomy places the organism in Eukaryota, Metazoa, Chordata, Actinopteri, Cypriniformes, Cyprinidae. The record is from RefSeq and is a predicted model, not a curated record. The transcript is spliced from 4 exons.
CUACUGUGUGAAUGUGUGUUCUAGUGCACUAAACAUGUAGGUUACCAUCAUUUUCUUUCUGAAGGGCCUCUCCUUUGAAAAGCAAAUGAUGGUAACCUAAGCAGCUGGGGAAGGGACGGGGGAUGAUAAUUUUUAUGCAGCUUUCUUUUUAUUUUCCAGUCUGUCCAAAAGCAUAACCACUGCUGGUCACAGUGCGGGAAGCUCCAGAGGGAGACCGUACUGGUAUCCCCCUUCUUUGGGCGCGCCUUCACACACACUCCACCAUUCACUCAUAUCACAGAGACCUGGCUGGGAUCGAACCAGCAACCUCUGAACCCGUGAGGCAGCGCUCUUACCUGUGAGCCACAGGUCUCUUGUUAGAGCAUGUGAAGGAACUUAUUUUUGGAUUGUUGACUUGCGGCGCAAGCGGGUUUCACCUUCAGUCCGACACCUUCAGCUGCUUGACAACAAGACGCUUGAUGACAGUCACAACAACACGUGCAGAUGACAGCUAUUAAUAUCAUUAUAAAAACAUGUUUUUCAGCUAAUCAACAAAUGAAACCGACACACGGUCCGAUAAAACGCUGGAAUUGAGUGUCACGCGACUCACCUAAUAAGUGCUGUGCUGUGGAUUGUAAAGCAGAGCUCUGGGGCGUGUGGACAGACACUGACUGUAAUGAUGGACAUCUGCUCGUGGACAGUCUGUCCAAAAGCAUAACCACUGCUGGUCACAGUGCGGGAAGCUCCAGAGGGAGACCGUACUGGUAUCCCCCUUCUUUGGGC